GAUGAAGAACGUAGUGAAAUGCGAUACGUAAUGUGAAUUGCAGAAUUCAGUGAAUCAUCGAGUCUUUGAACGCACAUUGCGCCCCCUGGUAUUCCGGGGGGCAUGCCUGUCCGAGCGUCAUUGCUGCCCUCAAGCACGGCUUGUGUGUUGGGCCUCCGUCCUCCUCCCGGGGGACGGGCCCGAAAGGCAGCGGCGGCACCGCGUCCGGUCCUCGAGCGUAUGGGGCUUCGUCACCCGCUCUUGUAGGCCCGGCCGGCGCUUGCCGACACAUCAAUCUUUUUUCCAGGUUGACCUCAGAUCAGGUAGGGAUACCCGCUGAACUUAAGCAUAUCAAUAAGCGGAGGA
Molecule: unclassified non-coding RNA, 345 nt
Filed under: soil metagenome
Description: partial contains 5.8S ribosomal RNA, internal transcribed spacer 2, and large subunit ribosomal RNA
Rfam family: 5.8S ribosomal RNA (bases 1-120)
Source: RNAcentral